RNAcentral lists this ribosomal RNA (426 nucleotides) under uncultured bacterium. RNAcentral describes it as "bacterial SSU rRNA". It matches the Rfam family "Bacterial small subunit ribosomal RNA", at positions 356 to 774 of the family's 1533-position model. The record is from RNAcentral.
GGGGAAUAUUGGACAAUGGGCGAAAGCCUGAUCCAGCCAUGCCGCGUGUGUGAAGAAGGUCUUCGGAUUGUAAAGCACUUUAAGUUGGGAGGAAGGGCUGCAAGUUAAUACCUUGUAGUUUUGACGUUACCAACAGAAUAAGCACCGGCUAACUUCGUGCCAGCAGCCGCGGUAAUACGAAGGGUGCAAGCGUUAAUCGGAAUUACUGGGCGUAAAGCGCGCGUAGGUGGUUUGGUAAGAUGGAUGUGAAAUCCCCGGGCUCAACCUGGGAACUGCAUCCAUAACUGCCUGACUAGAGUACGGUAGAGGGUGGUGGAAUUUCCUGUGUAGCGGUGAAAUGCGUAGAGAUGCGGAGGAACACCGAUGGCGAAGGCAGCCUCCUGGGAUGACACUGACGCUCAUGCACGAAAGCGUGGGGAGCAAACA